Molecule: ribosomal RNA, 379 nt
Filed under: uncultured cyanobacterium
Lineage: Bacteria; Bacillati; Cyanobacteriota
Description: SSU rRNA
Rfam family: Bacterial small subunit ribosomal RNA
Source: RNAcentral
CGAAAGCCUGACGGAGCAAUACCGCGUGAGGGAGGAAUGCCUUUGGGUUGUAAACCUCUUUUCUCAGGGAAGAAGAUCUGACGGUACCUGAGGAAUAAGUAUCGGCUAACUCCGUGCCAGCAGCCGCGGUAAUACGGAGGAUGCAAGCGUUAUCCGGAAUCAUUGGGCGUAAAGCGUCCGCAGGUGGUUUCCAAAGUCUGCUGUUAAAGACUGGAGCUCAACUCCGGAACGGCGGUGGAAACUUGGAAACUAGAGUUCGGUAGGGGUAGCAGGAAUUCCCAGUGUAGCGGUGAAAUGCGUAGAUAUUGGGAAGAACAUCGGUGGCGAAGGCGUGCUACUGGACCGCAACUGACACUCAGGGACGAAAGCUAGGGUAGCG